GCCUGGCUAGCUCAGUUUGUAGAGCAUGUGACUCUUGAUCUCGGGGUUGUGAGUGUGAGCCUCAUGUUGGGUA
This 73-nucleotide transfer RNA is filed under the name Vulpes vulpes (red fox). It matches the Rfam family "tRNA". Rfam says of the family: Transfer RNA (tRNA) molecules are approximately 80 nucleotides in length. Their secondary structure includes four short double-helical elements and three loops (D, anti-codon, and T loops). The record is from Rfam by way of RNAcentral. Lineage: Eukaryota; Metazoa; Chordata; Mammalia; Carnivora; Canidae. RNAcentral also lists the same sequence under 1 other name.